RNAcentral lists this ribosomal RNA (292 nucleotides) under uncultured bacterium. Its description in RNAcentral is "partial 16S ribosomal RNA". RNAcentral also lists the same sequence under 1 other name. The record is from RNAcentral.
GGACUACUGGGGUAUCUAAUCCUGUUUGAUCCCCACGCUUUCGUGCCUCAGUGUCAAUAUUUGCGUAGUGAGCUGCCUUCGCAAUAGAUGUUCUAUGUCAUAUCUAAGCAUUUCACCGCUACAUGACAUAUUCCGCUCACCUCCACAACAUUCAAGACAGAUAGUAUCAAUGGCAGUUCUCGAGUUAAGCUCAAGGAUUUCACCACUGACUUACCUGCCCACCUACGCACCCUUUAAACCCAGUGAAUCCGGAUAACGCUUGCACCCUCCGUAUUACCGCGGCUGCUGGCAC